UACGUAGGGUGCGAGCGUUGUCCGGAAUUACUGGGCGUAAAGAGCUCGUAGGCGGUUUGUCGCGUUGUCCGUGAAAACUCACAACUCAAUUGUGGGCGUGCGGGCGAUACGGGCAGACUGGAGUACUGCAGGGGAGACUGGAAUUCCUGGUGUAGCGGUGAAAUGCGCAGAUAUCAGGAGGAACACCGGUGGCGAAGGCGGGUCUCUGGGCAACAACUGACGCUGAGGAGCGAAAGCGUGGGGAGCAAACAGG
This 253-nucleotide ribosomal RNA is filed under the name uncultured bacterium. RNAcentral's name for it is "partial 16S ribosomal RNA". It matches the Rfam family "Bacterial small subunit ribosomal RNA", at positions 524 to 776 of the family's 1533-position model. The record is from RNAcentral.